Perca flavescens (yellow perch) is the source of this 191-nucleotide long non-coding RNA. RefSeq lists it as uncharacterized. The transcript is spliced from 2 exons. Lineage: Eukaryota; Metazoa; Chordata; Actinopteri; Perciformes; Percidae. The record is from RefSeq and is a predicted model, not a curated record.
CAGAAAGAGGAUCCCUCCCAAUUCUUCAAGAUUUGUAAGAGGAGGAUCCUCAACGCCCUGUCCCCAAGGAGAUGAUUGAUAUUGCACUGAUUCUGGAGAAGCAUAUCGUUCUUCGGGACCUGAAGGAUGUGCCCAACGCAUUCGCCCUGCUGAUGGGUCUGCUCUACGUCUUCAACAUCCAUUACCCAAAA